UGCACAGUGGGUAUAUUUUUCAAUUGCACAAUUUCUUCUUGUGAGAUUAUUUAAAAAAAAAAAGUCCAGGCUCAUAUGGAAGGACUUGGGACAAGAAUUGGAGCAUCAAUGCUUGCCAGAAGACCACCCAUAGCUUCACGUUACUGAAUUGAAAUGACACGGGUGAAUCUGACAGCUCCCAUCUCACUUUCUCCCAUUUUGAAGCACGUCAGGGGCUCAGAAUACGACUUCUUCCCAUCUCUGUUCCUGCUUGUUUCUCUACACUUCUACUACAUUUCAUGGACGAAAUGCAACAUAUGACAUCUGGAAGUCAUUUUGCAUCCAUGGCACUUCCUCAAUGAAAGGUCUUAGAAGUGUGUAAAAAUGGAGUAGGACUAUGAGAUAGUUUACCUAGCAACUGCCAGUGUCUUAUUUGCUGGGCCCAAAGCAUUGUAAAUUUUGGAUUCUUCAGAUUUUGGAAUAUUUGCAUUUGCACAUAUAUACUUACCAAUAUAUCUCAGAGAUGGGGCUCGAAUCUCAAGACGAAAGGCAUUUAUGUUUCAUGUAUAGCUUUUGCACAUAACCCGAAUGUAAUUUUAUAAAAAAAUAUUUGAAAUAAUUCUAUGCAUGAAACAAAGUUUGUGUACACUAAACCAUCAGAAUGCAAAGAUGCCACUGUCUCAGUCACCCCUGUGAACUAUUUUGGAUUUUGCAGACAGGGCAUGCUGAACCUGUAUUCAUAAUUGUAAAUAGAAAUCAUUUGUGAGCUACUCCUUUAAUUAAACUUAAUAGUUUAGAGAAGUGACUCCUAUUGAUGUUCAACUGCAGUUCCCAUCAUCCUUCAACACUAGCCAUUCUGCUGAGAAGGAGAAUGGUUAUAGAUGAAUUGCAGUCAAAACACUUGAGGGACUUGGAUGUUUGAUUGGAUGUGAGAGAUCCAACAAUUCAUUUGCCAAACAUGGUGGAUCUUCAGGAAAAUAAUGGAACAGGUGGAAGUAGAAGACCAUGACUUACACAGAAGCUUUGAAUGGGAGCAUCCACAGACAAGAAUGAUUGGCUAGAUGGAUCAAUAGAACAAGGCAUUUUUGUCUUCCUAUGUAGACUGUUAGAAUACGGGUGAGAACAUCUCAGGAUAGUUUGCUAUCUGAAGGUGGUCAAAGGUCUUAAACAGAUCAUCUUUCAUUGAGAAAGGUCACAUUUGAAGCUGGUACGGGGUGGUUGAAUGUAUAGAAAGACUCCAAGAACAGGUUCCCCUCCAUUCGUCAAUAUCCCGGAACUCAAAUUCCCUGGGUCUUGUGAAAUGCAUGUUGUGAAGGAUUUAUGAGAAAUGUAUAUUGGGUCGCCUUUUUCUUUAAAUCUCUUUUUAUCAGAUGCAUUAUGUUAUAUUAAUAAACAGCCUUUUUGAAAUGAUGUGGUUUAUAAGAGAUUUCAACUUUAUAAAUAAAACAUUUUGGUGACAUAAUAAA
Non-coding RNA from Anolis sagrei ordinatus, 1445 nucleotides. NCBI's taxonomy places the organism in Eukaryota, Metazoa, Chordata, Lepidosauria, Squamata, Anolidae. The record is from RefSeq and is a predicted model, not a curated record.